GUGCUCACUUCAGCAGCACACAUACUAAAAUUGGAAUGAUUCAGAGAUUAGCAUGACCCCUGUGCAAGGAUGACAUGAAAAUUCAUGAAAUAUUCCAUAUAUAU
This is a small nuclear RNA of Physeter macrocephalus (sperm whale), 104 nucleotides long. Lineage: Eukaryota; Metazoa; Chordata; Mammalia; Artiodactyla; Physeteridae. The record is from Ensembl.